Non-coding RNA from Sus scrofa (pig), 3561 nucleotides. The record is from RefSeq and is a predicted model, not a curated record. Lineage: Eukaryota; Metazoa; Chordata; Mammalia; Artiodactyla; Suidae.
GACUGCACCAACGCCUGAGCCUGAGCCGGCUCUGUUCUGAAGGGAGCAGGUGGAGUCAGUUGUCCGAGAUGCGCAGAGCCCCCCUGCUGACUCUCACCUGCAGCAAGGAGAGUCUGCAGGGCACGUGGAAGAAAGCCUACCAGGACCACAGGAGAAAGGUUGGAAAUUGUAUAUGAGAGUUUAAAAAAUAGAUUUCAGUGAGAAAGAAGCAGAAUGGCAAUUGCAGGAUGCAAUAAAUAGGGCAGGAGGCUGGCAUUGCUGAAUGGCGACCCCUCUCAAGACUCAUCCCUUUGAAACACAGCAUCAGGAAAUUGUUUGCUGAGGAGAGGAGCUGAGGCAGUCAGGGGAGAGCACAGGGCCUGAUCCUCCAGGCAUGGCUUUCCAGGGCUUAUCAUCAUCGCAGAACCCAGGGUAGGCAUCCGGCGUGAAACAGGACAGGACAGCCAUGUCAUCUACCCAUGGGGCACCAGAAGAGUCAAAUACAUGCCACCAGAAUUUGGUGGGCAUCUUGAGACCCUGAACCAGCUUGUUUAGCUCUGCAGCCCUUGGCCUGCAGGUCUGUGACUCCUCUGACUCAGGACAUUGGAACACAGUUGCUAUAUAAGACCUUUGUGGAUCGGAAGGUUUGGGCUUGAUCUGUGGUUUAAAAACCCAGUCUCUUCCUCCUGCGUCUUCCCCAGUGGCAUGAUGCUCAGCUGUUCCCCCAAGGCCCUCUGAAACAAACAAAUCAUACCAGUUUAAGACUGCACCAUCUCGCCUGUAUCUUGAAACGUGAGGCACAGUCAAGCUUUGGGUUAUCAAGUCACUGAGCUGCUUUCUUGACCUCACUGCACAAGAGAAAUGCCUACGCUCUCCAGACACGUGAUCCCAUCAUUCAGACAUUAUUAGCAAUGGGACUGCCAGAGUUAUCGUCUCCAGCUGAACCAUCUGGUAUCCGGUCAGUGGCCAUAUGCUUCCUGGCUGCAUCCAGGCGCUCCUUCAGGACUCAAAAGUGAGGGGUGUGCUCUGUGCUGAGCCUGUGGAGCAUGUGGACGUGACGGAGCCUGCACUUCAGUGGGCGGUGGAGGCCAGCACGCAGGCAGGUCCAGGAGGCCCGGCCGCUGGUGGACUCCCACGCCCAGCCGACCCCCAGUCACCUCCACCUGAAACUUGGGAAGCUCAAGCUGGAGGAGGGCCGGCUCUCCGUCAUCACCAGGGACAACCGUCUGCUGCUGGAGAAGGUGUCGGGCAUCCUGAGGCCCCAGGCACAGACAACCAGCAGAGACACCCACGCGCAGGAGAAAUAUCUAUGCUGUUUCCCGGAGUAUAAACGGGAGGAAAAGAGAACAGGAGCUUCGCAGAGCUCAGAGAGAAAACGAAAACGCUCUAGGAAGGAUCACAAGCUCGGAGCCUUCCUACCGCGCUCGAAGAUGGAGGGAGGACCUGGGAAGGGCCCGGACCCCCGGGCCCCGCGGCGGAGAUCCCGGACGAGGGCAGGCCCCCGCGUGAGAAGUUUUCUUUAGCAAAUGUCAAGAAAAUACUUGGAAACUAUGCUUCAAACCCAUCCUUCACUUAUUUACUUUGACUCUCUUGAAAUUCCACUUUAACAAAACAGGAAGCAGAUAAAGCCCAAGACCAAAGGGAGAUGUUAAGAUAAAAUAAAACAAAGAAAGGGAAAACAGAAGCUCCUAGAAAUAGGGCUUCCGGCAGCUACAGCCCAGAGACUGCACUUUAUUUGAAGUGUCACAGGCUUUGCUAAGUGUGGGGCCCAUGGAGCAGCCCAAGAAAGGGAGCAGCACUUGCAGUUCUGACAAAGACCAGGCCCCGCAGGGCUGGGCAGCACAUCCCAGUGUGGAGCCUCCAGGCGAGGUCAUCUGCUUUGUCUUCUGAAAAGACAGACCUGGAAACAAACACCAGCUCAGCACCUCUGGAUCCCAACUCGGAAAAUCCAGCUCUGAAGACUGCGCUCUAAUAAGCUGCCCUCAUGCCCUGUUGGGAAUUUCCAGGGCCUUGGCUUCUAUGUGCAGGACGAGGGUGAUGACAGGCACAGGGCAGAGGGACAGACACUCAGCUAUGGAUUUCCUGUCGAAAAUCCCCUUCCUGACACUGGGGCGACAGCUUUGAAUUAGCGGGACUUAUUCUGAACAGUGUGCUUCCCUUUUCCUAGACAAGCCCCUGCCUCCAUCCUUGGAAAGUUCAGGGACUUCGCACCCAGGCGGGUAGAAGGACAAAACCAAGCUUUUUGAAAACUGCAGGUUUAGGGAGGAAAUAACUCAGUUUUACAGGACCAGAAAGUUGGGGAAAUGUUCAAAAGAAACCCCCGUAGCCACCUCUGACCAGCUCUCUGAAGACCAGAUGCCACCUCCCCAACAAAACGCCUCCCCAGGAAAACAGUCUGGCUGUUCCUCAAAAAGUAACCAUAAAAUUACCAUAUAACCUGACAAUUCCACUCCUUGGUAUAUGCUCCAGAGAAUUAAAAGGCAUGUCCACACAGAAACUUGUGCAAGAACGUUCCGUCAACUGACGAGCAAAUAAACAAAGUGUGGUAAUAACCACGUAACAGAGUAUUAUGCAACCCUAAAAAGGAAUAACCGCUGCAUUAUGGGUCAACACUGAAGGCGGUAUGCUCAGUGAAAGAGGCCAGAUAUAAACGGCCGCAUAGCGUCAGAUUCCACUUCUAUGAAAGGUCCAGCACAGGCCAGUCCAUAGACGUGCAAAGUAGAUUAGUGGCUGCCAGGGGCUGGGGGAGAAGUUGGGGCCAUAUCUGAGCGUGGCGGGCUUGGGGGUGGGUGAUGAAAGACUUCUAAAAUUGGAUUUGGUGAUGAUUGCGCAACACUGAAUAUACCAAAACCACUGACAUACGCAAUUGAAAAGGGCGAAUUUUAUGUUACAGAACUGUAUCUCAAUAGGCUGCUUUUUAAAAACCAUAAGAUUAAUUCUAAAUAAGGUAGAAUUGUCAAUGCAUUUAAAUACUCCAUUUCCCAGGCAGUCUAGUAAACUGAUAUUUUACUGUCCUUACCUAAGGAUAGUGUUUGUUUCCAAUAUGCAUUUUUGAUCCAACAGGAACUGAAACUGAAAUUUAGCACGGCCACAUCCUGGACCCCAAAAGUGAAAUGUAGGAGAGGCCUCAGCACACAAAGUAGGAAAAGAAAAGCGUGAGAAGUAGUGACAGGGAGACGGCAAGGCCAUCCUGGUUUCCUGGUGCCACAGGCAGCUUGGGUCCCAAAGGAUGCUGGUCCACACCUCAGCUGGGCCAGCGCCCCCCCCCCCCAUUAUCACACAAGGACAGCUGUAAAUGCACAUGAGUCAGCACCCAAAACUGUGUCCACAGGAUAUAUCUGACCAGAUGAUGCAGCAAAACUAUUUUACAUGCUUCUUAGGCUAAUAGCUGGAAACAAAUUAUGCAGAGUAACACGGGAGGUUAAAGACUUCUGAAUUGGAUUUUCUUCUCUGAUUCUUCUCACUCUACCAUAUUUUUGCUGUUGUGGAUUUGUUUACAAUUCUCAGGUGUAUUUGUGUAAUUUGCCCUAAAAUCUGGGAUUGUUACUUUAACAAAUACCUAAAUAAAUCAGAUUAAAACUC